RNAcentral lists this long non-coding RNA (708 nucleotides) under Homo sapiens (human). RNAcentral's name for it is "non-protein coding AFF1-AS1:12". The record is from RNAcentral. Lineage: Eukaryota; Metazoa; Chordata; Mammalia; Primates; Hominidae.
ACAGAGACUGGUUCAAGGGAGAUUCGGACACAUCUCCACCUCCAAAGCCAAGUGCCUUCCCGGGAUGAUCUGCAUAACAAUUUGCGGGUGCUGGUGGUGGAGAAGCUCCGGGAAGAGAAAACUAGCCGGACGGUAUCGAACCGCCCGCAGGCCCGUCGCAGCUCCAUUAAUGCAACUACCAUUACACUAAGUAUCUCCUAUAGGGCUCUUCAAACUGUGGUCAACUUAGUAAAUGAUGUUGACAGUGGAAGUGUGAUCAUUUUAUUUUCCUGCCUUUGGAAUUGAAGAUUGUAAUUUUGCAAAAAUUUUGUUGAAGAUGAUGUAGCUUUGGUUCAGAGAGUUCCAAGUCUCUUCUUCGGCCUCUCAAACAUGGUACCAUCCCUAAUGAAGUCAACGGGUCCAGCAUGACAGGAUGGAAGUACAAGUGUCAGCACCUAUGUAAAGUGAACAGAGUUAUCUGUGACAUUCCAUCAGGCACCUAUGUAACGAAAUCAUACCGUAAUAACUCACCAUGGCGUAUGGAGUGCCAAGAAAGAACACAGUGAAAACCAUUUUGCGGGGCAGUUGUUAUAAUGUGAACCUUGGGAUAUUGCAUUGCUUGCAAAGACCUGGUCCACAAACCUAGCCAAUAUCAAGUUGCCUUUCUUGGAAGAAAUUUCAUUUGGUGGUUCUGUGCAGCUCACAAAAUGUACCACCAUUAAAGAUGGA